Aquila chrysaetos chrysaetos is the source of this 299-nucleotide long non-coding RNA. RefSeq lists it as uncharacterized. The transcript has 3 exons. Lineage: Eukaryota; Metazoa; Chordata; Aves; Accipitriformes; Accipitridae. The record is from RefSeq and is a predicted model, not a curated record.
CCCAAAGAUGGUGUGACUUCAUGGGAAAGCCUGCAGAGUAGUGUGUGACUGAAGUUUGGCCCAUGGAAAGGACCCAUGCCAGGGAAGUUCGGGAAGAAGUGAAGCCUGCUGGAAGGACUCACGUCGGAGCAGUUCGUGGAGAACUCUCUCCUGUGUGAGGGACCCACGUUGGAGAAUUUCGUAAAGGACUGUCUCCCUUGGGAGGGAUCCCACGCUGGAGCAGGGGAGGAGUGAGGAGUCCUCCCCCUGAGGAGGAAGGAGCGGCAGAGACAAGGUGUGAGGAACUGACCCCAACCCCC